AGCUAAAACCUCCAUUUCCCAAGUGAUAGUAGCAUCAAAUAAGUUAACUAAUAUACACAGAGAACUGCAUGUAUGUAUAUGCAUAUAUGAAAUAAAUACUGCCAUCACUUUCCCAAUAUGAUUUGCUAAGCAAUUGAUUACACAUAGCAGCACAAGCAGUUCCACUAAAUUUACUCUCUUUGCCUGUACAUUUUCACAGACCAAGAAGUUUCGCUAGCCAAAACAACCAUAUUUUAUAUAAGCUAAUAUCAGAUGAACAGAAAAGUAAUCAAAUUACAUUUAAAGGAUCCUAAAGCAAUUGCAUUACAGAGCCAAAAUUAAUAAGGAACUGAUACAGAUAUAUGAAACAAGUACACAUGACAAGCUUUAAUCCAUUCCAAAGAAUCCAGCAUUGCUAAGUGCCUUUAGAAUGAAGAAUAUCAAAAAAAUUCCCACAAAAUACUGUAAAGUUAUGCAAUAAACAAAAAUUGUACAAGAUCAGUGCAAGGACAUUAAAAAAUAACAAAAUGGUAGGAUAGUCAUUCUUACUGCCACUUCAACAAAGUCUUUU
Molecule: unclassified non-coding RNA, 550 nt
Filed under: Hevea brasiliensis (rubber tree)
Lineage: Eukaryota; Viridiplantae; Streptophyta; Magnoliopsida; Malpighiales; Euphorbiaceae
Source: RNAcentral